GAAAAAUGCUUAAUCUGAAAAGAGCGGGGGAACCAAUCGUACAAGUUAUGUACAUGGGGUGAAUCCUUUUAAAAAGGUAGGGUUAUUCCUAGACCCGAAUCCGUCAGCUAACCUCGUAAGCAAUUGGGA
This 129-nucleotide small RNA is filed under the name Bacillus andreraoultii. RNAcentral describes it as "ydaO/yuaA leader". It matches the Rfam family "c-di-AMP riboswitch aptamer (ydaO/yuaA leader)". Rfam says of the family: This family represents a conserved RNA structure found upstream of the ydaO and yuaA genes in Bacillus subtilis and related genes in other bacteria. The ydaO/yuaA element is thought to act as a genetic "off" switch for the ydaO and yuaA genes in its native state. Lineage: Bacteria; Bacillati; Bacillota; Bacilli; Caryophanales; Bacillaceae. The record is from RNAcentral.